AUGGCGGCGCGUCCUGAGGGGAGCGAGGGGGGGAAGAAACUGGGCGUGGCUUCCCGCUCUGUGACGUCAUUCCCUCACUCCCGCCCUCACUUAAGAUGGCGUCCGCCCUCUUUCUUUUAUAGUGCGCAUGCGCCAGCUCAAUCCGGGCUCCUAUUGGCUGAUUCUUUUCCCGCGUCUCUCCCCUUUGGUCACGCCCUUCUAAGGGCAGCCCUUCAGCAAAAUGGCGCUUCCCGCCUUUCCAAACCGACCAAUCAGAUGCGUCGCUUUUGGCGGGCCGCGCCCCCUCAUCGCCGACUAAGCCCCGCCCAUCUUCCCCUCAUCCCUCAGGCCGCCAUGAUGGCGGCGGCGACCCCGCGGCUGCGGCCGCUGCUCCGCGCCUUCACGAUUCAGAGGUUUCGGGGUCCCCUUUGGAGCUGCGGAGGCGCCCCCGGGUUGGGCCCGGCCGUGAGGGGAGUGGCGAGCGCGGGAGAGCAGGUGAGGAUUUAAAGGGGAAAUUUUGGGGUAUUUUUUGGUUUUUUGUGGAAAUUUGAGGGAAAAUUGGGCGGUUUUGGGGUCACGUUGGAAUUUUUGGGUCAAAUUUUGGGGGUUUUGGUUAAAUUUGGGGGGUUUUGGGUCAAAAUUUGGGGUUUUGGGGGUUAAAAUUGGGCGGGUUUUGGGCGGGUUUUGAGGUCCUGAGGGGAAAUUUGGCGUCUGGGGUUAAAUUUUGGCUAUUUUUGGUUUUUUUGUGGAAAUUUGAGGGAAAAUUGGGCGGUUUUGGGUCAGGUUGGAAUUUUUGGGUCAAAUUUUGGGGGUUUUGGUGAAAUUUGGGUGGUUUGGGGUCAAAAUUUGGGGUUUUGGGGGUUAAAAUUGGGCGGAUUUGGGUCAAAAUUUGGGAUUUUGGAGUCAAAAAUUUGGGGUUUUUUGUGGAAAUUUGAGGGAAAAUCCGGGGGUUUUGGGGUCACGUUGGAAUUUUUGGGUCAAAUUUUGGGGGUUUUGGUGAAAUUUGGGGGGUUUGGGGUCAAAAUUUGGGGUUUUGGGGGUUAAAAUUGUUCAGGUUUUGGUCAAAAUUUGGGACUUUGGAGUCAAAAAUUUGGGUUUUUUGUGGAAAUUUGAGGGAAAAUCCGAGGGUUUUGGGGUCACGUUGGAAUUUUUGGGUCAAAUUUUGGUGGUUUUGGUUAAAUUUGGGGGGUUUGGGGUCAAAAUUUGGGGUUUUGGGGUCAAAAUUUGGGGUUUUGGGGGUUCAAAUUGUUCAGGUUUUGGUCAAAAUUUGGGAUUUUGGAGUCAAAAAUUUGGGUUUUUUCUGGAAAUUUGAGUGAAAAUCCGGGGGUUUUGGGGUCACGUUGGAAUUUUUGGGUCAAAUUUUGGCGGUUUUGGUUAAAUUUGGGGGGUUUGGGGUCAAAAUUUGGGGUUUUGGGGGUUAAAAUUGUUCAGGUUUUGGUCAAAAUUUGGGAUUUUGGAGUCAAAAAUUUGGGGUUUUUUGUGGAAAUUUGAGGGAAAAUCGGGCGGUUUUGGGGUCACAUUGGAAUUUUUGGGUCAAAUUUGGGUGGUUUUGGUUAAAUUUGGGGGGUUUGGGGUCAAAAUUUGGGGUUUUGAGGUCAAAAUUUGGAAUUUUGGGAUCAAUUUUUGGGGGUUUUGGUCAAAAUUUGGGGUUUUUGGGUCAAAAUUUGGGGUUUUGGGUCAAAUUUUGAGUUUUUUGGGUCAAACUUUCAGGAUUUUGGCAAAAUUUGGGUUUCUGGGGAUCAAAUUUUGGAUUUUUGAUCCCAAAUUUUGGGAUUUUUGGGUCAAAUUUUGAGGAUUUUGGUGAAAUUUCGUCUCAAAUUUGAUUUUUGAUCCCAAAUUUUGCAUUUUUUGGGCCAAACCUUGGGGAUUUUGGUAAAAUUUUGGAAUUAAACUGAAUUUUUGGAGCUUUUUGGGUCAAAUUUUCAGGAUUUUGGUAAAAUUUUGGGGUCAAAUUUGAUUUUUUGCCUCAAAUUCGGGUUUUUUUGGGUCAAGCUUUUGGGAUUUCGAUUAAAUUUGGGGUCAAAUUGGAUUUUUUAUCCCAAAUUUUGUGAUUUUUGGGUCAAAUUUUGACGGUUUUGGUGACAUUUUGGUCUCAAAUUUGAUUUUUAACCCCAAAUUUGGGAUUUUUUGGGUCAAACAUUCAGGAUUUUGAUGAAACUUGGGAAUAAAACCGAAUUUUUGGAGCUUUUUGGGUCA
This 2175-nucleotide long non-coding RNA is filed under the name Cyanistes caeruleus (blue tit). RNAcentral's name for it is "lncRNA (ENSCCEG00000003058.1)". The record is from RNAcentral. Lineage: Eukaryota; Metazoa; Chordata; Aves; Passeriformes; Paridae.